This 74-nucleotide transfer RNA is filed under the name Pterulicium gracile. RNAcentral's name for it is "Pterula gracilis tRNA". It matches the Rfam family "tRNA". Rfam says of the family: Transfer RNA (tRNA) molecules are approximately 80 nucleotides in length. Their secondary structure includes four short double-helical elements and three loops (D, anti-codon, and T loops). The record is from Rfam by way of RNAcentral. Lineage: Eukaryota; Fungi; Basidiomycota; Agaricomycetes; Agaricales; Pterulaceae.
GUCUAGGUAGCUCAGUUGUUUAGAGCGCCUGGUAUAUAGUCAGGAGGUUGCAGGUUCAAUCCCUGUCUUGGACA